Phoenix dactylifera (date palm) is the source of this 159-nucleotide non-coding RNA. The record is from RefSeq and is a predicted model, not a curated record. Lineage: Eukaryota; Viridiplantae; Streptophyta; Magnoliopsida; Arecales; Arecaceae.
GUAAUUUCGCCAAGCAGACCUGAACGUACAGCUUCUAAUGGUUUUCACCUCGACAAGCUUGGAGCAGUUCUUUGGUGUUUCAGCUUGAGGCUAAUAUAUUAAAGGUCCAUUGAUCUGAAAGGAUGUUGUCAGAGCUACAAUUUGUAACUUAAAGCGUGU